RNAcentral lists this long non-coding RNA (894 nucleotides) under Lynx pardinus (Iberian lynx). The record is from RNAcentral. Lineage: Eukaryota; Metazoa; Chordata; Mammalia; Carnivora; Felidae.
AGGAGGCGGGAAAGGGCUCGCCCAGGCUGGUGGGGGCCGCCGCUCCCUCCCGAACCCCCUCUCCCAACGCAGCCUCUUCCUUCCUGUAUUUACAGCAGCAUUCGGCUUAUUUACAGCACAGCGGUGUGUGUUAAAAACGGUUUAUCUUACAAAAACAUGAAGGCCGGGGCUGGGCUAGGGGGUAAGACAAAUAGUAGGGGUCACCCCCGUGAGUGCAUCCCCCUCCCCCAGGGCGUCAGCUCCCUGCCAACCACCCAGAGCGAGUGGGGAGGCUGGCCAGUCUGCAGCUCAAGGCCAGGCCAGGGUGGGGGUGCUCCGAGGGUCCGUGGGCUAAAGGCACGUGGGGUGGCGUAGGAGGGUGCACGCACGGUGCACGCGUGUUCCUGGGCUGGGGUCAGAAGGGCAGCGUGUCCAUAAAGAUCUUGUCGACGAUAGGUGGAGGGGGCACCAGGUCCUCCAGCUUGAGGUAGAAGAUGCGUUGCAGGCCCUGGGUGCACAGGGUCCGAAGCUCGGGCAGCUUGCCCAGCAGGCGUGACAGGCAGCUGGCUGGCUGGGGCUCCCCCGCCACGGCCGAGACGUGCUCCUUCAGGCAGCUGGCAAUGCGGUUCUGAAGUUCCUCCACCCGCCGGGGCUCCUGCAGCCCGUGCCGGUCUGCGAGGAAGGCGAAGGCUUAGGGAUUAGCUGUCCAUCCAAGGCGCAGAGCCCUGCCCCGAGCCCCAGCCUCCCCCACUUGCCCCCUGCUCUAGACCUGUCGCCACUGACCAUCCCCCACACUCUGCUGGCACCUUGCAAAAGCAAGUUCACGCGCGAGCCCCAUUGGAAGUCUAGUGGUAGCCUCAGGAAUACUCAUUAUCCUCAUCUUCCAAAUGACAAACUGAGGCCCAGAGAGGUUAA